Molecule: ribosomal RNA, 1401 nt
Filed under: uncultured bacterium
Lineage: Bacteria
Description: 16S ribosomal RNA
Rfam family: Bacterial small subunit ribosomal RNA
Source: RNAcentral
UUCGCCCUUAGAGUUUGAUCCUGGCUCAGGAUGAACGCUGGCGGCGUGCUUAACACAUGCAAGUCGAACGGGGCACCCCUGAAGGAGUUUUCGGACAACUGAAGGGAAUGCUUAUUGGCGGACGGGUGAGUAACGCGUGAGUAACCUGCCUUGGAGUGGGGAAUAACAGUUGGAAACCGCUGCUAAUACCGCAUGAUGCAGUUGAGUCGCAUGGCUCUGACUGCCAAAGAUUUAUCGCUCUGAGAUGGACUCGCGUCUGAUUAGCUAGUUGGCGGGGUAACGGCCCACCCAGGCGACGAUCAGUAGCCGGACUGAGAGGUUGGCCGGCCACAUUGGGACUGAGACACGGCCCACACUCCUACGGGAGGCAGCAGUGGGGAAUAUUGGGCAAUGGGCGCAAGCCUGACCCAGCAACGCCGCGUGAAGGAAGAAGGCUUUCAGGUUGUAAACUUCUUUUCUCAGGGACGAAGAAAGUGACGGUACCUGAGGAAUAAGCCACGGCUAACUACGUGCCAGCAGCCGCGGUAAUACGUAGGUGGCAAGCGUUAUCCGGAUUUACUGGGUGUAAAGGGCGUGUAGGCGGGAGUGCCAGUCAGAUGUGAAAACCACGGGCUCACCCUGUGGCCUGCAUUUGAAACUGUACUUCUUGAGUCCUGGAGAGGCAGACGGAAUUCCUAGUGUAGCGGUGAAAUGCGUAGAUAUUAGGAGGACCACCAGUGGCGAAGGCGGUCUGCUGGACAGCAACUGACGCUGAGGCGCGAAAGCGUGGGGAGCAACCAGAAUUAGAUCCCCUGGUAGUCCACCCUGUAAACGAUGGAUCCUAGGUGGUGGGGGGAGUGACCCCCUCCGUGCCGCGAGUUCACACAAUAAGUAUCCCACAUGGGGAGUGCGAUCGCAAGGUUGAGACUCUAAGGAAUUGACGGGGGCCCGCGCAAGCGGUGGAGUAUGUGGUUUAAUUUGAAGCGACGCGAGGAACCUUUCCAGGGCUUGACAUCUCGAGGCCAGGCUUAGAGAUAGGUCCUUUUUUUUGGAGACCUCGGUGACAGGUGGUGCAUGGUUGUCGUCAGCUCGUGUCGUGAGAUGUUGGGUUAAGUCCCGCAACGAGCGCAACCCUUAUUGUUAGUUGCUACGCAAGAGCACUCUAGCGAGACUGCCGUUGACAAAACGGAGGAAGGUGGGGACGACGUCAAAUCAUCAUGCCCCUUAUGUCCUGGGCCACACACGUACUACAAUGGUGGUCAACAGAGGGAAGCAAAACCGCGAGGUGGAGCAAAUCCCUAAAAGCCAUCCCAGUUCGGAUCGCAGGCUGCAACCCGCCUGCGUGAAGUUGGAAUCGCUAGUAAUCGCGGAUCAGCAUGCCGCGGUGAAUACGUUCCCGGGUCUUGCACACACCGCCCGUCA